GUGAGGAAUAUUGGACAAUGGGCGCAAGCCUGAUCCAGCCAUGCCGUGUGCAGGAAGACGCAUCUAUGGUGUGUAAACUGCUUUUGUACGGGAAGAAACACUCCCUCGUGAGGGAGCUUGACGGUACCGUAAGAAUAAGGAUCGGCUAACUCCGUGCCAGCAGCCGCGGUAAUACGGAGGAUCCAAGCGUUAUCCGGAAUCAUUGGGUUUAAAGGGUCCGUAGGCGGUUUAAUAAGUCAGUGGUGAAAGCCCAUCGCUCAACGAUGGAACGGCCAUUGAUACUGUUAGACUUGAAUUACAAGGAAGUAACUAGAAUAUGUAGUGUAGCGGUGAAAUGCUUAGAUAUUACAUGGAAUACCAAUUGCGAAGGCAGGUUACUACUUGUGGAUUGACGCUGAUGGACGAAAGCGUGGGGAGCGAACAGGAUUAGAAACCCUGGUAGUCC
This 445-nucleotide ribosomal RNA is filed under the name uncultured bacterium. RNAcentral describes it as "partial 16S ribosomal RNA". It matches the Rfam family "Bacterial small subunit ribosomal RNA", at positions 354 to 796 of the family's 1533-position model. The record is from RNAcentral.